Long non-coding RNA from Daphnia pulex (common water flea), 1489 nucleotides. RefSeq lists it as uncharacterized. The record is from RefSeq and is a predicted model, not a curated record. Lineage: Eukaryota; Metazoa; Arthropoda; Branchiopoda; Diplostraca; Daphniidae. The transcript has 2 exons.
GCAGAUGUUGGUCUCGUUUACGACCGUAUACUCGGAGAAUGUAGAACAUCCCUGCCAAGUUUAAGAGUUUUCAUGGUAAUUAGAGGAAACUGGCUAAGUAAACUAAUUAAACCUUUUUUUCUUACCAUGUUGUGCUUAAUGACCUGUUCAUUACAGGUGAACCUCGUCGUUCCGUCGCUCAUAAAUCCGCCCAUCUGUUGAAUGUAACGAAAUUGAUAUAGCAAGCGGUAGAUGGCUUCAUCACAACAACAACGCAAUAAAUACCUGCAGCAUUUCAUUCUUGGUACAAAUGUUGGUGAAUUCCGACUUGCAAUUGUCGCAUUCGUAACAUUGAGGAGUAUACAACGGAAUGACGUGGUCGCCUUAAUGAUAUUAACAUUAUAAAUGUCACUAGUAAUAUUAUAGAGUUAAAAGAUUAAUACCUGGAGCAACAGUUGACACUCCUGAUCCUACACUUUCGACGAUUCCAGCUCCUUCGUGCCCCAAAACACAUGGAAAUACAAGUGGCCCUGCUCCGCCUCGCAUGAAGAACAAAUCGCUGUGACAAACUCCCGAUGCAAUAAUCUUCACACGAACUUCACCAGCCUUCGGGGGCUCCACUUUAAUCGUCUCCAUUUUGAACGGUUCGCCAACUCCCCAGACCACUGCAGCACGACAUUCUAUGACCUAGGAUUGGAGCUGCCCGACCUUGGAACUGAUAAGCCCGUCUUCUUUCUCGUCUCCUCUGCGUCGUUAGUGGCCGUAAGGUAUGCGCAGCAGUCGACUCCAUGUGUAAAGAUGUAAUAGUACCCAAGAAUGUCUCGCUGUUGUAACUCGAAAAAACCCCGAGGGUGAUUAUUUUCUUUUGAUUUUCUCGACGGUCGUUCACAGGCCAUGAAUUUUCUUUUCUCCAAGUAAUAAAAAUAAUAAUAAGUUACAAUCACAUUUUUGUUUUUUUUUUCAUCAGCUGUGUAUUCUUUUUCAUUAUUUAUUGAUCUUCAGCCUCAUGUAUCGUCGCCGGCGAACGACUUUUUGUUGUUAUAGACAACUACAGAGGGUUCAGAGCAAACGAUCUAAAUCAAUUCAAAAUGGAAACAAGUGAACAAAUAGAAAAAAACAAACAUUAGGAGAUAAAAGGAGGAAGAAAAGAGGAUCGAUGAGGGGGAAAAAAAACAAUUAACGUGAAAAACGAAAAAAAAAAAAAUAUUGAUAAUGGUCCUGAAAACAUUAUACGAUCAAAUGUCGUGUGACUGUCCACCAUUGGCAAUUCGGAGAAUGUUAUGAGGAGCGGGGGGUGAGUUGAGAUAGAAAGGAGUUCAAACAACGGUUAGCCACACUCCUUCAUUAAUAUUUCCCGGUUAACAGGAAAUAUUUGCCUAUUUUAAAAAAUACUGACGAUUACAGUUUUUUGUUUAAAAAAAAGGGGUUUGGUAGAGGAAAUGAUCAAAUGAGGUGAUAAAGAUAAUUGAAAUAGUUUUGAGCAUUAUUUACACAGAAGGGGGGGGGGGGA